RNAcentral lists this ribosomal RNA (459 nucleotides) under uncultured bacterium. RNAcentral describes it as "partial 16S ribosomal RNA". It matches the Rfam family "Bacterial small subunit ribosomal RNA", at positions 339 to 795 of the family's 1533-position model. The record is from RNAcentral.
CUACGGGACGCUGCAGUGAGGAAUAUUGGUCAAUGGCCGAGAGGCUGAACCAGCCAUCCCGCGUGCAGGAUGACGGCCCUAUGGGUUGUAAACUGCUUUUCUACGCCAAGAAAUCUGAUUACGUGUAAUUAGUUGACGGUAGCGUAGGAAUAAGCAUCGGCUAACUCCGUGCCAGCAGUCGCGGUAAUACGGAGGAUGCAAGCGUUAUCCGGAUUCAUUGGGUUUAAAGGGUGCGCAGGCGGGCUUGUAAGUCAGUGGUGAAAUACUGCCGCUUAACGGUAGAACUGCCAUUGAUACUGCAAGUCUUGAAUAUGGUUGAGGUAGGCGGAAUGUGUUGUGUAGCGGUGAAAUGCAUAGAUAUGACACAGAACGCCGAUUGCGAAGGCAGCUUACUAAGCCAUUAUUGACGCUGAGGCACGAAAGCGUGGGGAGCGAACAGGAUUAGAUACCCUGGUAGUC